This is a non-coding RNA of Salmo salar (Atlantic salmon), 1190 nucleotides long. Lineage: Eukaryota; Metazoa; Chordata; Actinopteri; Salmoniformes; Salmonidae. The record is from RefSeq and is a predicted model, not a curated record.
ACACACUCACACUUACACACACCCCUACUCACACACACCCCUACUCAGACACACCCCUACUCAGACACACCCCUACUUAGACACACCCCUACUCACACACCACAGUGUCUGCGUUUGGCUCUCCCUUUCCACUCUGCCUCCAUCUCCCUUCCAGGAUGCACAGACGACUGCUCUCUCUCUGGGUGACCGGGGCACUGCUGCUACCCUUGUGCUGGGCAAACAAAGAGGACUAUGAGGAGGAAUAUGAUGACUAUUCUACACAAACACCAGACUAUGACUACACCGCCACCUUCGAUUACACCUAUUUCAGUAACACCACCGGUGAGGACUAUAGUUUUCAUGUAAUUCUAGGAGAGAAGAAGAAUGUGGAGGAGAAGGAUCUUGAGAAUAAGGCUUUAGCAAUUGGCUCCCCAUGCCCACUGCUACUCCUCGGAUUGGCUGCUCACCAACUCCAUCGAUUACUGUGAAUGAGACCGAGCACUGCAGAACAUACACAGAUAUACAGGAUCCUGAACUGAGGAGAAAGUUACCCAAUAUUCUGGAAUUGGACUGAGGAGAAAGUUACCCAAUAUUCUGGAAUUGGACUGAGGAGAAAGUUACCCAAUAUUCUGGAAUUGGACUGAGGAGAAAGUUACCCAAUAUUCUGGAAUUUGACCUUUUUAAGAAUCAAAUGGACAGAGCAUGAGAUUCUCCACCACUGACUUUCUAUACUAUAGUUGGAAAAACUCAGUGAAUCCUGAAUCGUAACUUGUGAAAGAAGCCCACAACUUGAAUUCAUAAAUAUCUCCCAUAAUAAUAUUUGCGUUGUAUGCACGUCUCAAGUUGUAAGAUGUGUCCCUUAGAGUAAUAAUAGCACAAAGCCAAUAUACCCCACGUAUUCCAUCUUGUUUUGACUUUAUACAAACUAAAUAUGUAUAUUAUACAUGCUGUUUAUCUUUUAAUACAUCUUUUCCAAAUAUGUUUUGUUUCGGUUUGAUAUUCUGUUAUGAAAAUAUAAUGCUUUCUACAACCAUGGUACAUUUUGUCUCUUCUCUAUGGUCAAUGGUUUAUAGUCUAUGCUUUAAUGACAUGCAGAUGUGAAAUGAGACAACCCAUGUAUUAGUUAUAGGGUUCUAAUUAUCUUCCCUUCCCUAGAAAAGCAUUUAAAAGAGAAUUAUAUGUUAACAAUAAAACAGAGAAAUCCCCAAUGA